UGUCUGGUGGGUAGUUUGACUGGGGCGGUCUCCUCCUAAAGAGUAACGGAGGAGCACGAAGGUUGGCUAAUCCUGGUCGGACAUCAGGAGGUUAGUGCAAUGGCAUAAGCCAGCUUGACUGCGAGCGUGACGGCGCGAGCAGGUGCGAAAGCAGGUCAUAGUGAUCCGGUGGUUCUGAAUGGAAGGGCCAUCGCUCAACGGAUAAAAGGUACUCCGGGGAUAACAGGCUGAUACCGCCCAAGAGUUCAUAUCGACGGCGGUGUUUGGCACCUCGAUGUCGGCUCAUCACAUCCUGGGGCUGAAGUAGGUCCCAAGGGUAUGGCUGUUCGCCAUUUAAAGUGGUACGCGAGCUGGGUUUAGAACGUCGUGAGACAGUUCGGUCCCUAUCUGCCGUGGGCGCUGGAGAACUGAGGGGGGCUGCUCCUAGUACGAGAGGACCGGAGUGGACGCAUCACUGGUGUUCGGGUUGUCAUGCCAAUGGCACUGCCCGGUAGCUAAAUGCGGAAGAGAUAAGUGCUGAAAGCAUCUAAGCACGAAACUUGCCCCGAGAUGAGUUCUCCCUGAGACUUUAAGUCUCCUGAAGGAACGUUGAAGA
Molecule: ribosomal RNA, 595 nt
Filed under: Escherichia coli
Lineage: Bacteria; Pseudomonadati; Pseudomonadota; Gammaproteobacteria; Enterobacterales; Enterobacteriaceae
Description: partial 23S ribosomal RNA
Rfam family: Bacterial large subunit ribosomal RNA
Source: RNAcentral